GCCCCGUUCGUCUAGAGGCCUAGGACGCCGCCCUCUCACGGCGGUAACACCGGUUCAAAUCCGGUACGGGGUA
RNAcentral lists this transfer RNA (73 nucleotides) under Brachybacterium sp. Its description in RNAcentral is "tRNA-Glu". It matches the Rfam family "tRNA". Rfam says of the family: Transfer RNA (tRNA) molecules are approximately 80 nucleotides in length. Their secondary structure includes four short double-helical elements and three loops (D, anti-codon, and T loops). Further hydrogen bonds mediate the characteristic L-shaped molecular structure. tRNAs have two regions of fundamental functional importance: the anti-codon, which is responsible for specific mRNA codon recognition, and the 3' end, to which the tRNAs corresponding amino acid is attached (by aminoacyl-tRNA synthetases). tRNAs cope with the degeneracy of the genetic code in two manners: having more than one tRNA (with a specific anti-codon) for a particular amino acid; and 'wobble' base-pairing, i.e. permitting non-standard base-pairing at the 3rd anti-codon position. RNAcentral also lists the same sequence under 7 other names. Lineage: Bacteria; Bacillati; Actinomycetota; Actinomycetes; Micrococcales; Dermabacteraceae. The record is from RNAcentral.